UAUACCGAAUACACCCUGCUGGCUGCAUGGUCUGGUGGGGGAAAGCUUUUGCGGUGUGGGAUGGGCCCGCGGCCUAUCAGCUUGUUGGUGAGGUUACGGCUCACCAAGGCGACGACGGGUAGCCGGCCUGAGAGGGUGACCGGCCACACUGGGACUGAGAUACGGCCCAGACUCCUACGGGAGGCAGCAGUGGGGAAUAUUGCACAAUGGGCGCAAGCCUGAUGCAGCGACGCCGCGUGAGGGAUGACGGCCUUCGGGUUGUAAACCUCUUUCACCAGGGACGAAGCGCAAGUGACGGUACCURCAGAAGAAGGACCGGCCAACUACGUGCCAGCAGCCGCGGUAAU
RNAcentral lists this ribosomal RNA (347 nucleotides) under Mycobacterium sp. CT-32. Its description in RNAcentral is "bacterial SSU rRNA". It matches the Rfam family "Bacterial small subunit ribosomal RNA", at positions 165 to 524 of the family's 1533-position model. The record is from RNAcentral. Lineage: Bacteria; Bacillati; Actinomycetota; Actinomycetes; Mycobacteriales; Mycobacteriaceae.